UGCGUAGGCGGAAUAAUAAGUCAGUGGUGAAAUCCUGUGGCUCAACCACAGAACUGCCAUUGAUACUGUUAUUCUUGAAUAUAGUUGAGGUAGGCGGAAUGUGUAAUGUAGCGGUGAAAUGCUUAGAUAUUACACAGAACACCGAUUGCGAAGGCAGCUUGCUAAACUAUUAUUGACGCUGAGGCACGAAAGCGUGGGUAGCAAACAGGAUUAGAUACCCUGGUAGUCC
Molecule: ribosomal RNA, 229 nt
Filed under: uncultured bacterium
Lineage: Bacteria
Description: partial 16S ribosomal RNA
Rfam family: Bacterial small subunit ribosomal RNA
Source: RNAcentral